Molecule: unclassified non-coding RNA, 341 nt
Filed under: soil metagenome
Description: partial contains 5.8S ribosomal RNA, internal transcribed spacer 2, and large subunit ribosomal RNA
Rfam family: 5.8S ribosomal RNA (bases 1-120)
Source: RNAcentral
GAUGAAGAACGUAGCGAAAUGCGAUAAGUAGUGUGAAUUGCAGAAUUCAGUGAAUCAUCGAAUCUUUGAACGCACAUUGCGCCCUUUGGUAUUCCAAAGGGCAUGCCUGUUCGAGCGUCAUUUGCACCCUCAAGCUUUGCUUGGUGUUGGGCGUCUUGUCUCUAGCUUUGCUGGAGACUCGCCUUAAGGUAAUUGGCAGCCGGCCUACUGGUUUCGGAGCGCAGCACAAGUCGCACUCUCUAUCAGCAAAGGUCUAGCAUCCAUUAAGCCUUUUUUUCAACUUUUGACCUCGGAUCAGGUAGGGAUACCCGCUGAACUUAAGCAUAUCAAUAAGCGGAGGA